Molecule: long non-coding RNA, 21408 nt
Filed under: Nicotiana tabacum (common tobacco)
Lineage: Eukaryota; Viridiplantae; Streptophyta; Magnoliopsida; Solanales; Solanaceae
Description: long non-coding RNA (NTAB_LNC010972)
Source: RNAcentral
UGAUAGCAAUUCAUCAAACACAUAAAAGGCAUGCACGUAAGCGUCUAAUUUCAUUUCAUUCAUUUUGUAGUAUUAAUUAAAUUAAUUUUUGCAAAGGCAUUAUAUCUCAGAACUAGUGUAGAAAUGUCUCUGCCUUUUUGCUCUGAUUCUCUUAGAUCUUUACUGAUUAGUUCCAAAUGGAGCAGGUUUUUUUCUACCUUUGUAACUUGCACUCCGUUUCGAACAAAGAAAAUAGUGAAUGAAAAAGAAGGAAAAUAAAAAUAUAUUGAAUUCUUUCAUUAUGUUUGCUCUAUAUGUGCCUAGGAAAGUACAAUGGAUUACAUUGUAAUGAAGGAAUAUGUAUCUGAAUCUAAGAGAUCUUUUUUUGUUAAGAUAUAAAAGUUGUACUCCUAUUUUAUUACAUACGUAUUUCAUCAUCAUUUUCUCUCGCUUUUACGAGGUUUAUUCCUUUUAAACUACUCCUAUAUAGCAACCAAACCAAAUAAAGAUAAACUAGAGAUAAGUAUUUUUUUUUUUUUUGGUCGAAAAGGUAUAUGAUAUUAUAGAUAAUCAAACAAGUACAGGAUAAUUGUUAAGAAGUGCAUAAGAAGUAUCAUUUGUACAAAAGUAGAAUUUGGCAUCAGGUCUCCCGUGUGGGAAAACUAGAGAUAAGUUGAUAUAAAUGUCCAAGACCUAUUUUAUGACCUGUUAAGUUCGUAAUAUGAAAUAGAAAGUUAAAAAGGUUAACGUCUUUCUAUUCGUUAGAUACCAUUGGGUAAUGAAUAGUAAAUGUUCAACUCUAUAUAUAAUUAUCCAAUCCCAAGUACCAAAUGGGUGAAUAGAACGAAACGAAAAUUAAGAAGUGUUUAGAACGAAAAUAAAUGCAUUUCUAAACUUUGAGUCCAAAUAGGUUAACUGAAAGAAAGGAGUAGAAGAGAGUGAAUUAGUACUUCGAGGUAAAUUUAUUCCAAAUGCGCCUCACACUUUUUAUCACAUUUUCCUACCAGCUUUCUCCGUUUCUUUUCCUUCGUAUAAAUUUUCUCAUAUUUCCAGGCACAAGAAAAGCAAUUCUUGCUUUAGGAAAUUUAGGUUCCAAACUGGACCUCAACGUAUCAUGCAAUUUGAGUCAAAUGUCAGUAGUCAAUACUUAGAUGUUCCAAACUGGACCUUAAUUUGCGGGUCAUUUACGAAAAAUAAGUUACCUUUGCACUCACGAGUAGAAGUGGCAAAAUGGUUAAAAGAAAAUGAUUUUUUCAUUCGUAUACACUAUUGAAAAUUUUAUUACCCUAAAUAUUCAUGUUUUGUAAAUUACCCUACCUACACAAGUUUUGUUUAAAAAAUAUAUACAUUCCACCUUAAAAGGCUCUCAAUCCAUUAUUAAUGCCUUCAAUUAAAGGAUUUAAUUACACUCUUUACUCUCUUUUUGGGAGUUGUCCUCGAGCUAUCUCAUCUCCCAACAUGCUAAAAAGAUACAUUAUGCAUGUCUAAAAAAUGUUUAUUUUCUUUUUAAUGUUAUGUGAUAAUAAAUUUCAACGGAAAAAUUUAUUCUCUUUCUUAAAAUUUUAUAAAAUUAAAUACAUAAGAAUUUUCUAUUUGUAUGUUUAAUGUGUCUCUUAGUGAUCUAUUUUAAUAUAUAGUAGUAAUAGAUAUAUAUCAUCUUUAUGAAAACUAAGACGUAAUAUCCUCUUAAAAUAAAUAUAUUAUUCAAACUAAUAAUUGUGUAAGAUUUUCAUUUUCAUAAUAUAGAAGGUGUAAGUUUUUUAUUUUAAAAUAUCACACAUGUAUAACCCUUUUGAAUAUUAGCUUGGACCUUUUCCAUAAAUCUAAACAUUUUUUCUUGGCGGACAUUGGGAAGAGGAGUCACAAACUGCAGAUCCUUUAUACUACCUAACUCUGAAAUGUGAUAAAUUUGAGAUUUUGUGUGUCGAGUCUCAGCUCGCCGGAUCUCUCAUUCUCUCUUCCAUGAUCUUCAAGUCAAUCAAUUGAGUAUUGUUAAGAGUGUGAUAAACAAGGAGAGAAAGGAGUAGAGCAUGAGGCCGAUGAAUUUGGUGGCCAGAGAUCGAAUUGAGGCAUUUGUUUCAUUUUUCGUCACUCCCAACAUGCCUAAACAUGCUUAAACAUAUCAUGUAUCUUAUAUAAAUUUGUAAAUCAAAAGUUUUACCAAGGAAAAAAUAUUUUUGUGCAAGUCUUUAAAAAUAUCCAGUUAAAUAUAACUAUAAUAACAUACAACUUAAAUGCAAAUUUUAUACAAAAUUUAUAUAAUGUCUUUUGUAUAUUUUGUAUCUGAUUUAUACAUAGUAAAACAAAUUUCAUACAACUAAUUAUAUAUUAUACGAUUUAUCUACAACUUUCACAUAUUAUUUCUACCCAGUUAAAUACAACUACAAUAACAUACAACUUAAACGCAAAUUUUAUACAAAAUUUAUACAAUGUCUUUUGUAUAUUUUGUAUCUGAUUUAUACAUAGUAAAAACAAAUUUCAUACAACUAAUUAUAUAUUAUAUAACUUAUCUACAAUUUUCAUACAUUAUUUCUACUCAGUUAUAUACAACUACAGUAUCAUACAAUUUAAAUAUAAUUUUUAUACAAUGUUGUUUAACUUUCAUACAAUAGUUAAAUAAAUAAAAGAAAAAUAUAUAAACAACAGAAUACAAUAUUUCUACAAUUUUACUACAAUUUCGUAAUAUAAUUUACAUCAUGUCUAAUCUUCACCAAAAUCCCUUAAAAUUGAGAUAUAAACUCCAAGCCAUAUUCCCAAUUGUUUGCAACAACACCCAAUCUAAACAAAUAAUGAUUUUCGAAAACUCGAAUUCGAAUUCAAAGCUUCAAAGCUUUUUAAUAGCUGUCAAUGGUGGAAUNNNNNNNNNNNNNNNNNNNNNNNNNNNNNNNNNNNNNNNNNNNNNNNNNNNNNNNNNNNNNNNNNNNNNNNNNNNNNNNNNNNNNNNNNNNAACGUGAGGGAGUGUAAGAUAUGUUAGAGUAAUUUUAGGACACUAAUUAUUAUCAUUAAUUCCCUUAAAGUACAUAAAUGGUAAUUAGGUAUAUAAAAUGUAAUUAUAGUAAAACUUGAGUAGGGAGGUAAUAUAAUUUCAUAUAGUGUAUAUGAAUGUAAAAAUUCCUAAAAGAAAACAGUUAUCCACCCAUAUUAUCCAUCAAAAAAUAGGUUGGAUAAUGAACCAUUUAAAAACGGGUCAAAUAUGGAUAAAGAACCAUAUUAUCCACUUAGAAAAUGGUUAACCAAAUGAAUAACUAAUGUAUUUAACUUUUACAUUUGUAAAGCCUCAUAUUGGAGUUCCAAGUUUGGAAGACAAGGAAUUCACUUAUAAGUGAUCAUAUUUAAGAAGUCACCAUAUUAUCCGCCGGAUAAACUUAUUUUUUAUCCAUCUCAAAUACGGGUCGGGUCGAAUAAUUUAUUCAUUUUUUAAAUUAUCCGUUUUGACCCGCUCAUAUCCGACCCGACACGCCCGUUCGACACCCCUACUCACGAGUCAUAUUAUGUUGAUUGAUUAACAAACAUAUGUCCAAUUAUAAUGUCCGCAUCUGUUUGACUUUUCACGAGGAAGUAGCAUUAUAAAUUAAUACUGUCAUUAGUCAUUACUUAGAUGUAAGAAAAGUGUAGGAAAUGCAACUGCUUCUGUUUCGCUUUUAACCUGGCAAACGAAUUGAUUACUAAAAUCAGAGUUGCCUUUGACCCACCCAAUCCAUGGCCAGUUUGGUCAACUUGAAUUCCCAACAAAUCACUAAGAAAAAGGUGGCGAAUCAAAAUCAUAUUCAUUGCCAGGUUCAGAUCAAAUGAGACACAUAUUGCAAAUAUACAGCAAUUUAGCCCAAAGUUGGGUGUAAAGAUCUUCAAUUCGGUCUCUUUGUGAAAAAAAGAGCCAAAGACCACUGAGAUUAAUGGCAAAUGUCCAUCCAGUUUUUAUUUUAUUGAAAAAUUGAGAAAGUCACUAUUCGAAAGAUUUACAAAGUCACUGUAUUUACGAAUCAAAUAAUGAAGUUAACCUAUUAAAGUUACCCAUAUCUGGAAUAAGGAUAAAUCAAUUUCAAGUUUUGACAGAGUUGAACGCAUAAUUUCUUGAUUAGGCAUCUAUGCUUUUGCACCAGAGCAAAGUUAAUUCAUUGGCAAUUUGAAUUCCAUGGGUUUGAUAUGCAAAAAAGGCAUGAAAGGUCAGAACAAUAAAUGCUGAUAAAUGACAUGCAAACAAAUUAGAAUUUCAAUUUGAAAAAUGAAGCAAAACAUUCUAAGUAGUAUGAAAUUAAUUAGACCUGUGUCACCUCUUAUGUUUCCCACCUUUCUUUGUAAUUUCUUAUAACUUCAGAACUCACAAUAGAUCAUAUUGAGACUAAAAAGAAAAGCACCUUUUACAGUAACAAUAGCUAAUUAAUAGCCAUGGAUGAUUUCAGAGCAUUUAUUCUUGAACCACCUCAGUCCAUUUCUAAUGGAAGUCUUGAACUUUCCUUCAAUAGUAUAGACUUUGUACUUUGCUAUUCUCUUUCGUCUCUUCAUCUCUGGAUCAUUGAAUCCCCAUGGCUUAGCUGACGAUGAAGUUGCUGUCGCCACCUGACUCGGCCAUGUCCCCUUGCUCGUUACUACGGGCAGAUCCGGUGAGCGAGCCCGACUUCCCUGCAUAGGCGAAUCUAAAAUUUAAACUUAAUAGUUCAACUAUAAGGUUCUUGAAAUCAUGGUUCUUAAUGUAAUAUUAGUAAUGCUUACCUGUUUUCCGCUUACGAUCUCUAGUCUUCGGUCGCCGGAGCACCGGAAACUCGGGCGGAGCUCCUCCAUAUCUGCUGGUAAGACUAGCUAGCUUAUAAAAGAGAGCAAAAAUAUAAAUUUGUCAACAGGAUAUACAGAAGUUCAAUAAUACAUUUGGGAAUGUGAAAUGGUAAUAUUGUAAUAGGAAUAAGGAAGAAGGAUUCUCCAACUUCCUUUCUGCUAAUAAUUUAAAAAUAAGAGAGGUACCUGUAAGAUGGAACAGAACUUUAGCUGUAAUGGGGUUGUAUUUUUUUCAGAUUAGAUUCUGUAAUGGUGGUCUCCCAGUACUCGAUGACACUUCUUUUUUUCUGCCACCAUAUUUUUAAAUUGGGAUUGUAUGACUAUUUCGUACUAUGGUUGCUAUAAUUAAUAUGGACAUUUCAAAAGAUGGUGCCUAGGAUUUAUGAUGUCGUGCCAACCUCGAUGUUAUCGAUCUUGUCACCGGAAAUUAAUCAUCUUCCCUCCUUUAUUCUAGUUAAGAGAAUUAGAGAAGUCCACAAUUAUUCUAGUUACUCCAUCCGGUUCAAAAUAAGUGAUUUUUUAAUUAUUUUUAUACAGAUUAAGAAAUCCACUUUUUAACAUUAAUUAACAAUGAAAUUGACCAUAUUAACUUUUACUAUCUCUUCACAUAAAUACUCCUAACACAUAUUCCAACGCUAUUUACUUCAAAGGCAAUGUAGGAAAAAAAUAAUUAAUUCAAUUUUAAAAUCUGAAAAAAUCACUUAUUUUGGACCAGAGGGAGUACUAUUCAAAGGGUAUCCUAAGUGACGAUUAGAAGUAUGAGAUUUUAGAUUUUCAUGCACCAUAAGCAUAUAUUCAUUGAACAUAUAGCUUGACUCAAUCAAAUUUAGAGUCGGUUUGGCCGAGCUAUCAAAAAUUGCUCAUAUUGAAAAGUACUUUUUCUUAUAAGUGCUUUUUUGAAAAGUACUUUUGAAAAGAAAAAGAAAAACAAAAACAGUUUGUGCUUGAUCAAUUUAUUUGAGAAGUAAUUUUUGCAACAUUAGGUAAACAAAUUGUGUUUGACAAAUUUUUCUAGAAAGUGCUUUUGAGUGUCAAAUUACUCAAAAGCAUAGUACCAAAGUAUUAUAAUUAUUAUUUAAAAAAAAUAAAAUAUUUGUUGUAAGAGAUUUUUAUUAUUAUUUAUUUAAUUUAAUUUAAAUAUAACAUAAAGUAAACAUACAUAUUAAAGAUAUAAAUCAAUAAAAUAUAUAGAGUUAUACCAAAGUAAUAAUAUUACUGUCACGACCCUAAACUCAAACCUGUCGUGAUGGCGCCUAUCGAUGAUACUAGGCCAGCCGACUCUCACAAUACUUCAAUAACUCAUUCAAAGACAUGCUAAAAAGCCUUUUUAUAACACGAUUUUUCAUUAAAAAAAAAGAAAAACAAGAGUUGAACUCAAUCAAGAAAGGCUGAACGAAAGCCCCAAAUAUCGGGGUGUCACUAAGUCAUGAGCAUCUAAUAGAACUGGUCUGACAAUAGCAAGAUUUAACAUAGUCUGGAAUCCAAAAUACAACUCAUGAAAGAUAGGGAAGAAGAAAAGCAAGGCUGCGAACACCGGGCAACUACCUUGCUAUCUCCAAACUGCUGCAAAGACUAUCAACAACCUCUACGAUCAACUACUCCUGGAUUUGCACACGAGGCGCAGGGAGUAACGUGCGUACACCACCUCAGUAAGUAAUAGAAAUAAAUAGGGAACUGAGAAGUAGUGACAACCUAUGCAAAUACAGUUUAUUUCCAUAAAAAUUCGGUAAAGCGUAGGCAUGAUUUCGGUUAAGUCAAAUAAGUUGAUUUAAGUCAAGUUCAAGUAGUGUCAGAUAAAUUAUCUUUCAACAGUUCUCAAAGCACGAGUAUAAGGCAACUAUGUGCAACACUGAUGAAAUCAUAUACUGCCCCUCGAGCAAUCUUCACUCAGUCCUCCCAAUCACUCCAACCUCACAACCACUCAUUCCACACAAUCUCUCAACACUCGGCACUCAGUAGGUACCUACGCUCACUAGGGGUGUGUACAAACUCCGGAGGGGCUCCUUCAGCCCAAACAUUAUAUCAAUGCCAAUCAUGACAGAAUCAAUAAAACAUGCUGCGAGUGUAGCCCGAUCCCAUAAAUAUCCUCACAAUCAGGCCCUCGGCCUCACUUAGUCAUCGAUCUCUCGGGCUCUCAGAAAUCAGGAUAAUCAGCCCAACAGAAAUGACAUGAUGCAUCAAAUAGAAUAACAGAGACUGAUAUAUGAUAUAAUAAUGCAUGAACAUGACUGAGUACAGAAUAUCAAUGAAAAUAGUAAGAUGGCAGCAAGAAACGACCACUAAGGGUCUCAACAAUACCAGCAUAGCUAACAACAGGUUGUCCAACUUUAUAGUUUAUACGGGAACCAAGUCACAAUCCCCUCGGUGCACUCCCACACACCCGUCACCUAGCACGUGCGUCACCUCCAAAAUAGUCAGAAGACACAAAAUUCGGGGUUCCAUACCCUCAGGACCAAAUUUACAACUGUUACUUAUCUCAAUCCGAACAAAUCUCUACUCUGCAAUGCCCUUGCUUCUCGAAUCGGCCUCCAAACGUCCCGAAUCAAGCCACAAGCCGUACAAUACCUUUAAUACAUGCUAAAGGAAUCAAUUCCGCAAGAGGAAUUACUAAAUUAGACUCAAAACUUGAAAUUGGCUCAAACUUAGCCCCCGGGCCCACGUCUCGAAAUACGACAAAAGUCACAAAACCCCAAAGCCCAUUCACUCACGAGUCCAAUCAUACCAAAUUUAGUCAAAUCCGAUAAUAAAAUCCCCUUCAAAACCUCAAAAUUCCAUCUUAAGAACUCUUCCACUUUUUUUCCAAUUUUUCACCCCAAAUCACAAUUUAGAUGAUAGAAAUCAAGAUAUAAUCAUGGAAUUUAACUAAAAUCAAGUAAAAAACACUUACCCCAAUCAACUCCCUAAAAUUCCCUUCAACAAUCGCCCAAAUCCGUGGUAUCUAGCUCAAAAUAUGAAAAAUGAGUUCAAACCCUCGAUUUUGAAUAUAACACUAUCUGCGCAGAUUUCCUUCUUCAUGAACGUGACCGUCCUUUCGCGUUCGCGUAGAACAACUUGAUUGCCUCUCUGCUUUACUCUUCGCGAAUGCGACACAUGCCUCGUGACUGCAAUGCUUUACCGGCUCAGACCUUCGCGAACGCGAACGCGGCCACCACCUCACGAACGCGUAGAACAAGGACCUGGCAUCCCAAACUGCCUUACUCCUCUUCGCGAACACAACCCUACUCCCGCGUUCUCCAUGUACACUCAAACUACACCUUCGUGUUCACGUUCGUGUCCUCUCCUUCGUGAACGCAAAGAACAAAAUCCUUAUCACUCAGAAAACACUCUUCGCGAACGCGAAAGAGGAAACCAGAAGAAAUAUACAGUAGACAUGAGCAAUCUCACCAAGACCAAAAAUGAUCCAUUAACCACCCGAAACUCACCUGAGGCCCUCGGGACCUCAACCAAACAUACCAACAUGUCCCAUAACAUCAUACGAACUUAGUGAAACCUUCGAAUCACUCAAAACAAUAUCAAAACACUAAAUUACACCGGGAUUCAAGCCUAAGAACUUCUAAACUUCCAAAUUCUACAAACGAUGUCGAAACCCACCAAACCACUUCGAAUGACCUCAAAUUUUGCACACAAGUCAAAAAUGACACCACGAACCUACUCCAACUUUUGGAAUUCCUUACUGACCCCGAUAUUAAAAUUUCCACUGCCGACCAAAAUCGCCAAAAUUCUAACUUUCGCCAAUUCAAGUCUAAUUCUACCACGGGCCUCCAAAUCACAUUCCAGAUGCACUACUAAGUCUAAAAUCACAUAACGGAGCUAACGGAACCAUCAAAAUUUAAAUCCGAGAUCGUUUACAUAUAAGUCAACAUUUGGUCAACUUUUCCAAGUUAAACCUUCACCAAGAGACUAAAAGUCUCAAUUCACUCCAAAACCACACUGGACCCGAACCAACUGAACUGGUAAGACAUAAUACAGUUGAAGAACAUAAAUAAACAGAAAAUGGGAGAACGGAGCUGUAACUCUCGAAGCGAUCGGUCGGGUCGUUACAAUUACCUAGUAUAAUUACGUAUUGUUUACAUGAUGAUAAUCUUCAACUUAACUUUAUCAUAGUUUCUUCCGAUUUUAUCAUUGAACUUUUGUACCAGAUUAGACCAUCAUAAUCUACUAAAAUGAGUCUUGGGACGAUUUCCGACUAAAAUUUCUUCCACACACAUAUUUAAAAUUAGGUUUGUGGUUUCUACAUCCCAUUGAGCCUUCUUAGAGUUGUUAUCCAAUGCCACUUUCUUGAUUAUUUUCUUUUCAAUAUGCAUUAAGAAACAUUUGAUUAAUAAUAAUAAAUGUUAAACAAAUAAGAUAACUAAAAAUCUAUUAAGUUAAAAAAGAAAAAAGAUAAAGAAAAUAAGAGCAUCAAGGGAAAAGCUUUCAAUUGUUAAUCACUCAUAUUAUUAAAAAUAAGUGUUAUUAUGCAUCAAAUCUAAAAAAAUAAAUCAGUAGUCACUUUCACAAAAUAUUAGAUGUAUCAGUACAUGCACUCACAUUAAAAAAGAAUAGAUAAAGAUACAUACUAGAUAUUGUGUAUAAUAAAUUGAUACAGUACUAUAAAAGAAAAAAAUAAAUCAUACUUGAUGACGAAAGUAUUUGAAUUUGUUAUCCUAUUAGUUUUGUUGUUUCAAAAAGGAAUUGGAGACACAAAAGAAGAAGUUGUACAAGAAAAAGGGAGAGGAGGUCUAUUAAUAGUAAUAGAUAGGACCUCUUAGUUUGCAAAAAGAAUUCGAGGCAAAAAAAAAAAGAGUUACCAAGAGAAUUCGAGGAGAUCUAUUACUUUAGAGAAAUAAAAACAAGAUCAAUCAAAAAAUAAUUUAAAAAGUAGCAAGACAUUACACAAAGGAAAAAUUGAAAACAAGACAAGUCAAAAAAUAAUUUGCUACGAUUCAUGUAUCUAAUAUCUCUAAUUUAAAAGAAUGGUAGAAACAAGAAACAAACAAGAAAAAGAAAAGGCUUAAAUCAGUAAGGGAUAAUUUGAAAAAUAUGAAUUUAUGGUGAGCACUACUAGAAAAUGCCAAAUUUCCGACCACAAAAUCUGUCGAAAAUCUCUUAUUUCUAAUGGAUUUCAAGUGGUUGAAAAAAUGAUGUUCGCAAAAUAUUUGCGACGGAAUCGAGCGCAAACGGGAAUUGUACAGUUGACUGGAUGAAAUUAAUACUCGUGAUUGCUCGGUAUAUUUGCGACAGAUUCAAUCGCACUAUUAUUUAUAUAAAUUAAUUAUAUAAUAAAUUUUUCGUCCGAUUUGGUCGGUAAUUUAAUUAAUAUUUUUUAUUUAUUUAAAUUUUCCGACCGAAUCGGUCGGAAAUUAAGACGUUAAAAAGAUAAUUAAUUCAAUUUUUGACCACUUUAGCCUCAAAUCUGGGAAUUUUGUUGGUAGGAAAUUUAUCGGAAAAUUUGGUAAAAUACAAUAGAAUUCUACUGUAUUUUAAGCCACACCCCCCUGCCAAAUGAAACAAUGAAUACGUAGCAGCCAAUAUUACAAAUAUUCUAUCAGUAGAACCUAAAACAACAAGUAUCAAACUUGUUUAAACAUAACAAAACCAUCUAUUCUAUUAAAAUACAUAAAAAUCUAAAGCUUUCAACCAAAAUCAUAUUACACCAAGUCUAAAACGAACCAAGUUUUGCAACAAUCAAUCAAGUCUAAAUAUCCUAUUACAUAAUCUAAAUUACUACCGAUCUUCAUCGAUUUCAGUCUCCUCAUUGUUAGAUUCUUCCAUUGAAUGACGUUGUUUUUCAUGAUUUGCCAUGAAUAUCCGCAUCAUACUUAUUGUUUCUUGAGCAUUAUUCCAUUGUUGAGACAAUUCAUUGAUUUGCGUCCGCAUAGUCUCAAUUUCUUUGGGUGAAGCAGAAGUACCACUAAAUAAUACGGUUGGACGACUAGACGACGGCUGCACUCCAAGUCCGUAGAUUCUAUCUUUAUUUAUUUUUAUGAGAAAUAAAAAAAUAUUUAAAUUAGCAAUAAAAGAAACAUGCAACUUGGGUAAAAUAAUAUUAAAACGAAAUCAUAUCUAAAAAUGUAUAAAAUAUUUUAUAUCUUUAUUUACUCAACCAGUUGCCUGUGUCCAUAUCGAAGUCAUAUCUUCGGGCAUUCAUUGAGAAUCGGGCUGAGUUUGUUGCUACUCCUCCAUUCUUCUUUGAUACCCUUCCUGAAAUGUUGUUGACAAACACUAUAUAAACGAAUUAAUCUUAAUCAAGAAUAAAUGUAGUGUUGAAUUUAGAAUCUUACAUAUGUUUCCAAUGCACGUGGUUUGAUCCAUCCUUCUCUUGUACCAUCCUUCUUUUUUUUCUUCUUCUUAUGUGUCUCCUCAAAGACACUAGCAUGAGAUACAUUUCCCCUAUGUGCCUUUUCCUUUCAAAAUAAAAAAUAUGAGUUUAUUACUUGAAUCUCAUAUAAGUAAAGCUAAGUAAAAUAUUAUAAAUAAAUUACCAAUCUCAAUCGAUGGGCCGCAAAACUGAUUGAACCUCUGGUGUGCAACGAGCCACCCUUACUGGAGUCUCUAUUUGCCUUCGCUUUUUCACUCUUUUGCUUCUAUUAUUCGGUAUUCCACUUCUCCAAUAGUUGAAGUCCAGACAUCUUCACGCAACCAUAAAGUCCUUCUCCCACCUUUCCGAACAAGAAAAUGAGUAUCUUUAAUCCUUUUCUGAGCUCUCUUCUCGAAAUUUUCAUUCACCUGAAUUUCAUGCUGAGGCUGCCAUACACACUUAGUAUGCAAUUAAAACAAAUGUUAGACGAACAUAAUAAAUAUUAUAUAAAUUAUAUUUAUUCGUACCUUAAAUUGAAGCCACAUAUUCACUCUGAUUUGGUAUGGAAUAUCUCUUCAGGAAUUCCACGUCUGAUGGAAAAAUGGAUUCAUAGCUUCCACAACCAUAUGUCUGGCCUGAAAGGAUGGCAAAACCUGCUAUAACGACCAGAUCGGUCAUUUUGCUUUCUAGAACCCCGUUCCCCUAAAUGAGACUCCUUGUAUGUGUUUUUACUGUUUUAUAACUUGCGAGAAUGGUUAGUUCUGUCACAACCCAAACUGAUGGGUCGCGACGGGUGCCUGAGUCCUACCUGUCAAACACCCCUAAGCAUGCGUCUAAGAUAUGAAUUUGAAUAACAUCUGCUGAAUUAUGAAAAUAACAUAUAUGAAGGAAACUUGCCAACAAAGCAUAUGUACGUAUACAUGCAUGAUAUAGUGGGUGAGCCGGCAAGGCUGCUAUAGACAACUAUACAUUCAAAACUGAAGGACGACAAGGCCACAUACAACCCAACUAGACAUACUGUCCAUAGACUUCUAAUAGAAACAUAAUUGUACAAAGACGGGAUUGAGCCACGUCAUACCCAUAUAUAUAUAUAUAUACAUACAAACGUAUCAUACCAAAAUCAAAAGCAACUCCGGAUCAAGUGGAGCACGCCAACUUUCGCUGAUCAGGGAUCCUAAGAAGGGGGACCGUCAGCUUGCCUACCUACACCUGUGGGCAUGAAACGCAGGCCCCGUGAAAUAGGGCGUUAGUACCAAAAAUGUACUGAGUAUGUAAGGCAUGAAAAUUAUUAUGUAAAAGACAUAGAUGAAACAUGGAAUAUAGAAACACGUCUUUAAAUCUGAAUAACUUUAUAAAUUCUAAAAUGUUUAUAACAUCAUGCACAUGCGUAUAAAUGUUGUGUCAUGCGUAUGUAUGGGUGUACAUAAUAUUAUCAAGUCACUGAAGGCAUUCCAUCAUAUCGUCUCGGCCACUGUGGGCAAUAUCAUCAACAUAUACCAGCUGAUCAGGUGGUGGUGCGUAUAUAACACCGUAACCUUUUCCCAUAUCCCAAAUACAUAUAUUUACAUAUAUACGCAUAUAUAAUGCCAUCAGGUCAUGGGCCAAUGCACAUAUAUAAAUGGGUGAAAUGCAUCAAAAAUACGUAAUAAUCUUAAUAUUUCUUCCGGAUAAACUUUUGUCACGACCCCGGUUCGCCCUCCGUGAACCAUCGUGAUGACACCUAUUCCCUAUGACUAGGUAAGCCUAAAUUUUGGAAAAUAAACCAAUUUGCAGAAGUAAAACAAUUUAAAACAGAAUUAGAGUAAUAAGACAGUGUUUAAAAGUGCCGCUCGGCAUACACAAUAUUUAACUCCUAGAAACCAAUACAUAUCUCCAAGAUCCGGAAACCCAUGAAUCACAAGCUAAGGAUCACUACAUAGUGCUCUAACUCUAGAAUAGUCUAAAACAAAAUAAAUACAGAAGGGCAGUCACUAUAAGAGAGAGUGGAGAGAGACUCCUCGGUCUGCAAACGCAACAAAUAUACCUCGAAGUCUCCGAACGGUUGCCUCACCUCAAGGAUGGUAAGUCUGAGUCAAGGUACCUGGAUCUGCACAUGAAAAAAUAUGCGUAGAAAGGGCAUGAGUACACCACAACGGUAUUCAGUAAGUGCCAAGCCUAACCUCGAUCGGGUAGUGACGAGGAAGGUCAGGGCCCUACUAAGGUUAAAUAAAAUACAAAGUAUAACGGUGUAGAACAAGAAAGUAUAAUUAAGUGCAACAGUAAGAAAUAACAUAGAAUAGAAAGAGCAACAACAACUAGAAUAGAGGCAAAAUAAUCACCGAGGGAACACAGCUCAACACAGAGAUAACAACCGAGGAUCUAUUAGGAUACCGUCCUGUAGCCCCCAAAUGUAAAUGUGCAGUGGAUCUCCCGGGUGUUGUCCCGUAGCCCAACUCAAAAUGCGCCGGGGAUCUACCGGAAUCCCGUUCCGUAGUCCCUAUACCUAGUACCGGGGGAAUCUACCGGGUGCAGUCCCGUAGUUCCAUAUAACUGUGCAGGGGGAUCUACCGGAAUCCCACAUCAGUAGUCCCAAAUAAACAGACAAUGUGGAGCUACCGGAAUCCCACAUCCGUAGUCCCAAUGUAAAUACACAACAGCAACUGGAAAAUAUUCAGAAAUGAUAAAUUUCAUAUUAAGGCAACAAAUAAUUCUAGCCUAGCAUGCUGCAUAGAAUUUAGAUAAGGCAAUUUGAGCAAAUAAAGCAAUUAAAUCACUUAUACAUGCUUUUCUAAGCUAAUAACAGGCUUAAUAGUGUGAGUAAUAAAAACAGGAAAGGAAACAUACUAGUAAUUACUUGAUGAAAAUCGGAUUUCCAACAACUAGCACAAGUGCACACUCGUCACCUCAUGUACAAGGCAUUUCAAUUACCAAAUAUACCAAAUCCUAAGGGGAAGGUCCCCCACACAAGGUUAGGCAAGCCACUUACAUCGAACCGACUCAAAAUCAACUCGAAACCACGUUCUUGCCACGAGUACUCGACUCCAAAUGACCCAAAUCUAUUCAAUUCAAUUGCAUAAUAUAAAUAACACUUCAAGUAAUUGAUUCUACAAUUAAAUUCUAAGCUAAUAAGCGAAAUUAGGUAAAAUGACCAAAAUGCCACUCGGGCCUACAUCUCGGAAUCGGGUGAAAUUUACAUUUUCAGAAACCUCGUAUUCUCAUGAGUCUAUACAUAACAAGAACACUGAAAUCAGAGUUCAAUUGACCCCUCAAAUACCCAUGUUAAGGUCUCUUAAUCUCAAGCCCUAAUUACCCAUUUUUUCCCAAAAUUUUCACCACUAAUUAGGUCUUUAAUCACAUAUAAACGAGUUAUGAAGGCAAAAAUGUUACCUCCAAGUGAUUCCCCUUUGGUUUCCUAAAAAAUCUCCCCCAAAAGCUUCAAUCCCGUUCAAAAAUGAUGGAUAAAUGAAGAAGGGUCGCGGAUGGGCUAUUUAAAUACUGCCCAGAUUUAAUCCUACGUGAUCGCGACCAGCUCUAUGCGAUCGCAUAGAGAAAAUUCUAUCACCCCACUUCCACACCAAGUCCUUCUACGCGAACGCAAGGGUCCUUAUGCGAACGCAGUGACCAACCAACUUACCCUAUGCGAUCCCACUCCCUCCUCUGCGAUCGAAAUUCACAAAAAUAUGCCUGAACUCAACUUACCCUACGCAAUCGCGGAUGGUCUCACGUGAUCGUAGUGAACAAAUCACUGCUGCAAAAAUAUCAGAAAACCAGCAAUCACUCAAAGGCCAAAAGUGCUCGUUUGAGCAUCCGAAGUACAUCCGAGGCCUCUAGGACCUCAACCAAACCUACCAACAUAUUCCAUAACAUCAUUCAUACUUUUUCCAACCUUCGGAACGCUCAAAACAACAUAAAAACACCAAUUUAGCAUCAGAUUCAAGCCUAAGAACUUUAUAAACUUUAAAAAUACGCUUACGAUCAAAAAGUCUAUCAAACCUCGUCCGAAUGACCUGAAAUUUUGCACACACGUCACAUUCAACAUAACGGAGCUACUCCAACUUCUGGAAUUCCAUUCCUACUCUCGGAUUAAAAUCUCACUAUCGAACAGGAAACUUCAAAAAUUCACCUUUCGGCAUUUCAAGCCUAAAUUAGCUACAAACCUCCAAAACACAAUCCGAACACGCCCCUAAGCCCGAAAUCACCCAAUGGAGCUAACGGAACCAUCAGAUUUUCAUUCUGAGGCCAUCUUCACACUAUUCCGACUACGGUCAACUUUCCAACACAUAACUCUCAUUUAGGGACUAAGUGUCCCAAAACUCUCCGAAACUCAAAACCGAACAUCCUGGCAAAUCAAAAUAGCAGAAUAAACUCGGGGAAAGCAGUUAAUGGGGGAUCAGGGCAUAAAUUCUUAAGACAACCGGCCGGGUCGUCACAUCCUCCUACACUUAAACAUUUGUUCGUCCUCGAACGAGCAUAAAAACAUACCUGAAGUAGUGAAAAGAUGAGGGUAAUGGCUGCACAUAUCCUGCUCGGUCUCCCAGGUCGCCUCCUCGCCCGGCUGACCCCGCCACUGAACCUUCACUGAUGCAAUAUUCUUUGACCUCAGGUUUCUAACCUGCCUGUCCAAUAUCGCCACUGGCUCCUCAACAUAGGAUAGAUCCUUGUCCAACUAGACUGAACUGAAAUCUAACACGUGCGACGGAUCACCGUGAUACCUCCGGAGUCAUCGAAACAUAAAAUACCAGAUGAACUCCUGCCAAGCUGGGAGGUAAGGCAAGCUCAUAAGCAACCUUCCCAACACACCUCAAUAUCUCAAAAGGGCCAAUAAAUCUCGGACUCAACUUUCCCUUCUUCCCNNNNNNNNNNNNNNNAUAGGUGAAACCCGAAGCAGAACCUGCUCUCUAACCAUAUAGGAAACAUCACGAACUUUCCGGUCCGCGUAACUCUUCUGUCUGGACUGGGCUGUACGGAGUCUAUCCUGAAUCACCUUAACAUUCUCCAAAGCAUCCUAAAUUAAGUCUGUGCCCAAUAAUCUAGCCUCACCCAGCUCAAACCAAUCCACCGGGGAUCUACACCACCUACCAUAUAAAGCCUCGUACGACGCUAUCUGAAUGCUGGACUGAUAGCUGUUGUUGUAAGCAAACUUCGCCAAUGGCAAGAACUGAUCCAAAGACCCUCCAAACUCAAUCACACAUGCACGGAGCAUAUCCUCAAGAAUCUAAAUAGUGCGCUCAGACUAUCCGUCCGUCUGAGGGUGAAAUGUUGUACUCAGCUUCACCCGAGUACCCAACUCAUGCUAAACGGCUCUCCAGAAUCGUGAUGUGAACUAAAUACCUCUAUCCGAAAUGAUGGAAACUGGAAUACCAUGCAGACGAACAAUCUCCCGGAUAUAGAUCUCCUCCAACCGCUCCGAGGAAUAAGUAGUAAACACGGGAAUAAAGUGAGCGGACUUGGUUAGCCGAUCAAUAAUCACCCAAAUAGCAUCGAACCUUCUCAAAGUCUGUGGGAGCCCAACUACAAAGUCCAUGGUGAUUCGCUCCAAUUUCCACUCCGAAAUCUCUAUCUGCUAAAGCAACACACCCGGUCUCUGGUGCUCAUACUUCACUUGCUGACAGUUAAGGCACCGAGCUACAAAUCCAACUAUAUCUUUCUUCAUCCGCCUCCACCAAUAGUGCUGCCUUAAAUCCUGAUAUAUCUUCGCAGCACUCGGAUGAAUGGAAUACCUGGAUCUAUGGGCCUCCUCCAGAAUCAACUCCCGAAGCCCAUCAACAUUGAAUACAUAAAUCCGACCCUGCAUCCUUAACACCACAUCAUCACCAAUAGUCACAUCUCUGGCAUCACUGUGCUGAACCUUGUCCUUGAGGACAAGCAAAUGAGGGUCAUCAUAUUGUCGCUCCCUGAUAUGAUCAAAUAAGGAAGACCGAAAAACCACGCAAGCUAUAACCCGACUGGGCUCCGAAAGAUCCAAUCUCUCAAACUGGCUGGCUAGGGGCUGAACAUCCAUCGCCAUAGGUCUCUCCGAUGCUGGUAAAUAAGCCAAACUCUCCAAACUCUCUGCCCGACAACUCAAGGUAUCAGCCACCACAUUGGCCUUGCCUGGGUAAUACAAAAUAGUGAUAUCAUAAUCUUUUAGCAACUCUAACCAUCUCCUCUGGCGCAAAUUUAAAUCCUUUUGCUUGAACAGGUGCUGCAAGCUCCGAUGGUCAGUAUAAAUCUCACAGGGAACCCCGUAUAAAUAAUGGUGCCAGAUCUUCAGGGCGUGAACAAUGGUAGCUAACUCAAGGUCAUGGACAUGGUAAUUCUUCUCAUGUAUCUUCAACUGACUGGACGCGUUGGCAAUCACCUUACUGUUCUGCAUCAACACCGCUCUGAGGCCAAUCAUUGAGGCAUCACAAUAGACCAUAUAAGACCCUGAACUUGUCGGCAGUAUCAAAAUUGGGGCUGUGGUCAAAGCUAUCUUGAGCUUCUGAAAGCUCGCCUCACACUCCUCCGUCUACUGGAACGGAGCACCCUUUUGGAUCAACCUGGUCAUGGGGGUUGCAAUUGAUGAAAACCCCUCCAUAAAACGACGGUAGUAACCCGCCAAGCCAAGGAAACUGCGAAUCUCCGUAGCUGAGGACGGUCUGGACCAACUCUGCAUGACCUCUAUUUUCUUCGGAUCCACCUGAAUGCCCUCACUCGAUACCACGUGGCCUAGGAAUNNNNNNNNNNNNNNNNNNNNNNNNNUCUUCCCAACUCCGGGAAUACACCAGAAUAUCAUCAAUAAAAUGAUGAACGAGUCAAGAUACGGCUGGAACAUACUGUGCAUCAAAUGCAUAAAGGCUGCUGGGGCAUUGGUCAGCCCAAAUGACAUAACAAGGAACUCGUAAUGACCAUACCGAGUCCUGAAAGCAGUCUUCGGGAUAUCUGACUCCCGAAUCUUCAAUUGAUGGUAACCUAAGCGCAAGUCAAUCUUAGAAAACACCCGCGCACCCUAAAGUUGGUCAAACAAAUCAUUAAUUCGAGGCAAAGGAUAAUGGUUCUUCAUUGUAACCUUGUUCAACUGGCGAUAAUCAAUACACAUAUGCAUCGAACCAUCCUUUUUCUUUACAAACAAGACAAGAGCACCCCAAGGUGAUACAUUGGGCCGAAUAAAACCCUUAUCAAGCAAUUCCUGUAACUGAUCCUUCAACUCAGGAGGAGCCAUAUGAUACGUAGGAAUAGAAAUGGGCUGAGUGCCCGACAACAUAUCAAUGCCAAAAAUCAAUAUCUCUAUUAGGCGGCAUGCCCGAAAGAUCAACUAGAAACACAUCGGAAAAAUCUCGUACUACUAGAACUGAAUCAACUGAAGGGGUAUCAACACUGACAUCUCUCACAUAAGCUAAAUACGCAUCACACCCCUUCUCAACCAUACGCUGAGCUUUAAGAAAAGAGAUAACUCUACUAGGAGUGUGAUCUAAAGUACCCAUCCACUCAACACGCGGCACACCUGGCAUAGCUAGUGUCACGGUUUUGGCGUGACAAUCAAGAAUAGCAUAGUGGGGUGACAACCAGUCCAUGCCAAGAUAAUGUCAAAAUCUACCAUACUGAGCAACAAUAAAUCGGCUUUGGUCUCAAAACCACUAAGAGCAACCAAACACGACCGAUAAAUGCGGUCCACAACAAGACAAUCUCCUACAGGAGUAAAAACAUAAACAGGGGAACUCAAAGAAUCCCGAGAUAUACCCAAAUGCGGAGCAAAAUAAGAAGACACAUAAGAAUAAGUGGAGCCUGGAUCGAAUAGAACCGAUGCAUCUCUGUGACAAACCAGUAUAAUACCUAUGAUGACAGAAUUGGAGGCAACAACCUCGGUACGGGCAGGAAGGGCAUAGUAUCUGGCCUGGCCUCUCCCUCUAGGGCGACCUCUACCUUCCUGACCUCCACCUCUAGCUAGUUGAGCAGGUGGGGUAGCAACUGGAGCUGUAACCAUAGCCUGAGAACUCUGUGGGGCAUGUUGUGGUUGAGAAGUCUGUGGACGUGCACCCCUCCCAAGUCUGGGGCAAUCCCUCACCAUAUGACGUGUGUCACCACAUUCAAAACAAGCUCUGGGAGGACAUGGUGGCUAUGAUUGGCUCGGUCCAGGUCUGCUGGACUGACCUCUAAAAGCACCCCGCGCAGGAGGUAGCUAGAUGUCAGUGGUGCAUAAUAAAGCUCCUGAGGCCUAGGAGGAGCUGGAAUACCGCUGCCUGUUGGAAGAGCCAAAUGAACAGGGCGGCUCAUAUAACCCCUACCAUGAUGACCUGCUAUUGGGGCACGGGCACCAGAGAAAUGGCCCGACUCUCGAGACCUCUUGGCUUCCCUUUCCUCUCUCUCCCUAGCAUGCAUACCCUCAAUCCUUCUAGAAAUGCUCACCACCUGCUGAUAAGAAAUAUCCAUCUCCAACUCAUGAGCCAUACUAGACCUGAUGCUGGGAAUAAGGCCCUUAAUAAACCGGCAAACCCUCUCGCAAAUAGUAGAAACCAAGGCUGGUGCAUGCCUAGCCAAAUUGGUGUAACGGACAGCAAACUCUGAGACAGUCAUAGUACCCUGGCGCAAAUGCUCAAACUCUGCGCGCCAUGCGUACNNNNNNNNNNNNNNNNNNNNNNNNNNNNNNNNNNNNNNNNNNNNNNNNNNNNNNNNNNNNNNNNNNNNNNNNNNNNNNNNNNNNNNNNNNNNNNNNNNNNNNNNNNNNNNNNNNNNNNNNNNNNNNNNNNNNNNNNNNNNNNNNNNNNNNNNNNNNNNNNNNNNNNNNNNNNNNNNNNNNNNNNNNNNNNNNNNNNNNNNNNNNNNNNNNNNNNNNNNNNNNNNNNNNNNNNNNNNNNNNNNNNNNNNNNNNNNNNNNNNNNNNNNNNNNNNNNNNNNNNNNNNNNNNNNNNNNNNNNNNNNNNNNNNNNNNNNNNNNNNNNNNNNNNNNNNNNNNNNNNNNNNNNNNNNNNNNNNNNNNNNNNNNNNNNNNNNNNNNNNNNNNNNNNNNNNNNNNNNNNNNNNNNNNNNNNNNNNNNNNNNNNNNNNNNNNNNNNNNNNNNNNNNNNNNNNNNNNNNNNNNNNNNNNNNNNNNNNNNNNNNNNNNNNNNNNNNNNNNNNNNNNNNNNNNNNNNNNNNNNNNNNNNNNNNNNNNNNNNNNNNNNNNNNNNNNNNNNNNNNNNNNNNNNNNNNNNNNNNNNNNNNNNNNNNNNNNNNNNNNNNNNNNNNNNNNNNNNNNNNNNNNNNNNNNNNNNNNNNNNNNNNNNNNNNNNNNNNNNNNNNNNNNNNNNNNNNNNNNNNNNNNNNNNNNNNNNNNNNNNNNNNNNNNNNNNNNNNNNNNNNNNNNNNNNNNNNNNNNNNNNNNNNNNNNNNNNNNNNCAUCCCGACUCGUUUAACUCAUAGGUGCGCCACCACUCAUAGGCGGCUCCUCGAAGCUGGAAAGUAGUGAAGAAAACCUUACUCGAUCCUGAUAUACCGGUCACACCUCCUUUUUUACUACCCCCGGAAGAGUAUAAGGGAGUUUUUUCCAAUUUAAGUGACAAUCGAAACAGGAUUAUUUAUAUUAAAAUUCAGAGUCGCCACUUGGAAUAAUUUAUGGUGUCCCAAGUCACCAGUUCAAAUCCCGAAUCAAGGAAAGAUUGACUCUGUUUUACAGUCCGCGAACACAAAAAUCCGGGUAAGGAAUUUUGUUAACCUGAGAGAAGGUGUUAGGCAUUCCCGGGUUCCUGCUUUUAGCAUGGUCACUCAACUGUUAUUAUUGGCAUAUUUAUUUGAUUUUAAAACAUCUUUUAAACUUAUGUGCAUUUUAUCCCUUUAAACCCGCUUUUAAUAAUCUAAUUAUCAUACAACUAAUUACUUUGACUACACAUCGCGAAUCAUGUCAUGGGAACCGUACCCACGAUCUACAACAUGUUUAGUUUAAUUAAAAAGAUUAAAUUGGGGCCGGAUCACAUAAAUGUACUCCCGAAUUUUAGAAAUUAAACAUUACGACUACGUCACGGGAACCGUACCCGUAGCCAUGACAAUUAUUCAAUUAAUGCGCCUAAAGCAAACUACGAAAGUUCAAGGCAUUUUUUAUACUAAUUUUUGUAUUUAUGCGAAGGCCAUGGAAAAUUCAACUAAAUGGCACACCUCGAGUCUAAUUUUAAGAGGAACUAAUUAAUUAAAAGCCAAGGGAAUUCAUAAUUAUUAUUCUUUAAAGCUAAUGUUCAAACUAAGCUCAUUAAUCAGAAGGUCUAGUAUAGAAGGAGAUCCGAUCCAUAUCUAUUCGGAAGCUUGGGCCUGGCAGCAGGCCCAAUGGUUUAUUGAAAAUUUUCAUAUUGAUGCAGAAGGCGACGGUGUUGAGCCCAAGCCUGACAGAGUUAUGAGGCUGCAAAUCUCCUUGUCUCACAAUAGCCUUAAGGUUCAGGAUCAAAGGAAGCCCAAACCUUACAAAAAAAAA